UACAGAGGGGGCAAGCGUUGUUCGGAAUUAUUGGGCGUAAAGCGCACGUAGGCGGCUUUGUAAGUCGGAUGUGAAAUCCCCGGGCUUAACCUGGGAACUGCGUUUGAAACUGGAAGGCUUGAGUGUGGCAGAGGGGGGUGGAAUUCCACGUGUAGCAGUGAAAUGCGUAGAUAUGUGGAGGAACACCGAUGGCGAAGGCAGCCCCCUGGGCUAACACUGACGCUCAUGCACGAAAGCGUGGGGAGCAAACAGG
Molecule: ribosomal RNA, 253 nt
Filed under: uncultured bacterium
Lineage: Bacteria
Description: partial 16S ribosomal RNA
Rfam family: Bacterial small subunit ribosomal RNA
Source: RNAcentral